This 1539-nucleotide long non-coding RNA is filed under the name Cairina moschata (Muscovy duck). RNAcentral's name for it is "domestica (muscovy Duck (domestic type)) lncRNA (ENSCMMG00000004416.1)". Lineage: Eukaryota; Metazoa; Chordata; Aves; Anseriformes; Anatidae. The record is from RNAcentral.
AUGGGGGACAGAAAAGAGGUAGCAACCCCCCCAUCACAUCCAUUUCCACAGCACACGAGGAGCUCGGGGGGGACCCCGCCGAGAGCUCGCUCCAAACAGCUGAAGGGGCCCCCCGGGAACAACAGCAACUUACCUGAGAGCCUCGGUGCCAGAACAGCGCCCGGCCCUGACACCCGGCCACGAGCACUGAGCUCCAACGCUUCCCAGCCGAAAGUACGGCGAGGAUUUACGCCCACCGCACGACAGAAAACACGGGGCCACAGAAACCCCCCGAGCACCCCCCUCAGCACCCCGGGCCCCCCCGGAGCUCCCCCAGUAGCCCCCCGGCUCCCCGUGGCCCGGCCCUGGAGGCGGGGGGGGGGGUUCCAGGGCCGCGUGUCCAGGCGAAGGCUCCGCCGCUGCGGGCCCGGGUCCCCUCCCCGCGCUCCCGGGGCACCCGCGGCCAUGGCGGCGCCGGGCCCCGCUCACCUGUUGCUGCUCCGCCUCAACGGGGCGCCGGGCCGGGCAGAGCCGGUGCUCCGCCGGCUGCUCCCGGUGGCGGGGACCCGGCGGGGACCAGGAGGGCGCGGCCGGGGCUCGCCCUGGAGGCCGGAGACCCGCGGCCGGGCCGGUCCCGGGGGCAGCGAGCGGGGAAGCGGCCCGGCGCCCCGACGGCUCCCAGCCCGGUCUCGGUGCCGGCCCCGGCCCCGGCCCCGCUCCCCGCCUCGCUCCGCUCCCAGCCCCUGCCCCGAUCUCGCUCCCGGUUCCGUUCCCGGCCUCCCGCCUCCCCCCGUCCACCCCGCACUCACCGGGCCGGGCCGGGCCCUGCGCCGCCGGGCCGGGGCCGGGGCCGGGGCCGGGGCCGGGGCCGGGGCUGCUGCCGCCGCCGCCGCCGCCACCCCGGGGCCGGGCCUGGGCCAGCGCGGGCCGCCCAGGCGGGGCGGCGGAGCGGGAGGGGGCCGCGGGGCGAGCGGCGCGGGGGAGGCGGGGAGGGACCGGAACGGGAAGGGAGGGGGAGGGGCGGGCGGAGGGGAGGAGGGAGGGGCAGGGCAGGGCAGGGCAGGGAAGGGAAGGAGGGCGGGCCCCUGGCGCGCUGCGUCACUGCUCCGUGCGUAUUGCGUCACCGCAGCGCGCCCGCCGGGCCGCCGUUGUCAUGGCAACCGGGGGACGGAGGCGCCCCCUGGUGCGGGGGAGGCCUGGAGGGGGCGGGGCCCUAGAGGAGGAGGGGGCGGGGCUCUGAGCCAGGGGCGGGGCUGCUCUGCUGGACUCCGCCCCCUCGCGCCCGGAGGCCCCGCCCCCCUCCGGGCUGGGGGCGGGCCCCACGCGAUGGCCGACCCCUCCUUCCCCCCCCCGGUGUACCCGGGGGUCUCAGUGCUACCCAGAGCCCCCCCGGCUGCCCAGGACCCGUCCUUCAGCUGCCCAGGAGUCCCCCUCCUCUGCCCACAGCUACCCUGUGAGGGCUCCCCCCAGCUUCCCAGGAGCCCCCACAUUGCUCAGUGUCACCCCAGCUGCCAACGACCCCCCCCAGCUGCCCAAGAGCCCCCCCCACGUCUGCCCUGA